Molecule: ribosomal RNA, 469 nt
Filed under: uncultured Glomus
Lineage: Eukaryota; Fungi; Glomeromycota; Glomeromycetes; Glomerales; Glomeraceae
Description: SSU rRNA
Rfam family: Eukaryotic small subunit ribosomal RNA
Source: RNAcentral
UUCCAGCUCCAAUAGCGUAUAUUAAAGUUGUUGCAGUUAAAAAGCUCGUAGUUGAAUUUCGGGGUUAGUAGGUUGGUCAUGCCUCCGGUAUGUACUGAUCUCACUGAUUCCUCCUUCCUUAUGAACCGUAAUGCCAUUAAUUUGGUGUUGCGGGGAAUUUGGACUGUUACUUUGAAAAAAUUAGAGUGUUUAAAGCAGGCUAACGCUUGAAUACAUUAGCAUGGAAUAAUGAAAUAGGACGUUCGAUCUUAUUUUGUUGGUUUCUAGGAUUGACGUAAUGAUUAAUAGGGAUAGUUGGGGGCAUUAGUAUUCAAUUGUCAGAGGUGAAAUUCUUGGAUUUAUUGAAGACUAACUACUGCGAAAGCCUUUGCCAAGGAUGUUUUCAUUAAUCAAGAACGAAAGUUAGGGGAUCGAAGACGAUCAGAUACCGUCGUAGUCUUAACCAUAAACUAUGCCGACUAGGGAUCGG